AUACGUAGGGGGCGAGCGUUGUCCGGAUUUACUGGGCGUAAAGGGUGAGUAGGCGGUAAUAUGUGUCAGAUGUAAAAGGCUAAGGCUUAACCAUAGUUAGCAUUUGAAACUGUAUUACUUGAGUGCAGGAGAGGUAAGUGGAAUUCCUAGUGUAGCGGUGAAAUGCGUAGAUAUUAGGAGGAACACCAGUGGCGAAGGCGACUUACUGGACUGUAACUGACGCUGAGUCACGAAAGCGUGGGUAGCAAACAGGAUUAGAUACCCUGGUAGUCCACGCCGUAAACGAUGAGUGCUAGGUGUUGGGUAGCGAUACUCAGUGCCGAAGUAAACACAAUAAGCACUCCGCCUGGGGAGUACGGUCGCAAGACUGAA
Molecule: ribosomal RNA, 372 nt
Filed under: uncultured bacterium
Lineage: Bacteria
Description: bacterial SSU rRNA
Rfam family: Bacterial small subunit ribosomal RNA
Source: RNAcentral